Molecule: ribosomal RNA, 248 nt
Filed under: uncultured soil bacterium
Lineage: Bacteria
Description: partial 16S ribosomal RNA
Rfam family: Bacterial small subunit ribosomal RNA
Source: RNAcentral
AGGACGAACGCUGGCGGCGUGCUUAACACAUGCAAGUCAAGGGGGCCCAGCAAUGGGCAACCGGCGAACGGGUGCGUAACACGUGAGCAACCUACCGAAAUGUGGGGGAUAGCCGGCCUAACGGCCGAGUAAUACCGCAUACGCUCUCGAUGAGGCAUUUCAUUGAGAGGAAACCUACGGGACAUUUCGAGGGGCUCGCGGCCUAUCAGCUAGUUGGCGAGGUAACGGCUCACCAAGGCAACGACGGU